AUUGAACGCUGGCGGCAGGCCUAACACAUGCAAGUCGAGCGGAUGAAGGGAGCUUGCUCCUGGAUUCAGCGGCGGACGGGUGAGUAAUGCCUAGGAAUCUGCCUGGUAGUGGGGGAUAACGUCCGGAAACGGGCGCUAAUACCGCAUACGUCCUGAGGGAGAAAGUGGGGGAUCUUCGGACCUCACGCUAUCAGAUGAGCCUAGGUCGGAUUAGCUAGUUGGUGGGGUAAAGGCCUACCAAGGCGACGAUCCGUAACUGGUCUGAGAGGAUGAUCAGUCACAGUGGAACUGAGACACGGUCCAGACUCCUCGGGGGGGCGGCAGUGGGGAAUUUUGGAAAAGGGGGGAAGCCCUGAUCCAGCAAUGCCGGGUUGGGAAAGAAGUUCUUGGGUUUGAAAAGCCCUUUAGGUUGGGAGGAAGGGAAGUAAGUUAAUCCCUUGUUGUUGGGACUUUCCAAACAAAAAAAGCCCCGGCAAACUUUG
This 482-nucleotide ribosomal RNA is filed under the name uncultured bacterium. RNAcentral's name for it is "partial 16S ribosomal RNA". It matches the Rfam family "Bacterial small subunit ribosomal RNA", at positions 30 to 505 of the family's 1533-position model. The record is from RNAcentral.